This 460-nucleotide ribosomal RNA is filed under the name uncultured bacterium. RNAcentral describes it as "partial 16S ribosomal RNA". It matches the Rfam family "Bacterial small subunit ribosomal RNA", at positions 338 to 795 of the family's 1533-position model. The record is from RNAcentral.
CCUACGGGCGGCAGCAGUGAGGAAUAUUGGUCACUGGACGAGAGUCUGAACCAGCCAAGUAGCGUGAAGGAUGACUGCCCUAUGGGUUGUAAACUUCUUUUAUAUGGGAAUAAAAUGUUCCACGUGUGGGAUUUUGUAUGUACCAUAUGAAUAAGGAUCGGCUAACUCCGUGCCAGCAGCCGCGGUAAUACGGAGGAUCCGAGCGUUAUCCGGAUUUAUUGGGUUUAAAGGGAGCGUAGGUGGAUUGUUAAGUCAGUUGUGAAAGUUUGCGGCUCAACCGUAAAAUUGCAGUUGAAACUGGCAGUCUUGAGUACAGUAGAGGUGGGCGGAAUUCGUGGUGUAGCGGUGAAAUGCUUAGAUAUCACGAAGAACUCCGAUUGCGAAGGCAGUUCACUGGACUGCAACUGACACUGAGGCUCGAAAGUGUGGGUAUCAAACAGGAUUAGAUACCCCUGUAGUC